Molecule: ribosomal RNA, 464 nt
Filed under: uncultured bacterium
Lineage: Bacteria
Description: partial 16S ribosomal RNA
Rfam family: Bacterial small subunit ribosomal RNA
Source: RNAcentral
GACGAACGCUGGCGGCGUGCUUAACACAUGCAAGUCGUACGGUAAGGCCCUUUCGGGGGUACACGAGUGGCGAACGGGUGCGUAACACGUGAGUAACCUGCCCACAACUUUGGGAUAACGCUAGGAAACUGGUGCUAAUACUGGAUAUGUGCUCCUGCUGCAUGGUGGGGGUUGGAAAGCUCCGGCGGUUGUGGAUGGACUCGCGGCCUAUCAGCUUGUUGGUGGGGUAGUGGCCUACCAAGGCGGCGACGGGUAGCCGGCCUGAGAGGGUGACCGGCCACAUUGGGACUGGAAUAGGGCCCAGACCCCUACGGGGGGAAGCAGUGGGGAAAAUUGCAAAAGGGGCGCAAGCCUGAUGCAGCAACGCCGGGGGCGGGAGGACGGCCUUCGGGUUGUAAACCGCUUUCAGCAGGGACGAAGUUUUUGGGGAGGGUACCGGAAAAAGAAGCACCGGCUAACUACGU